Molecule: ribosomal RNA, 494 nt
Filed under: uncultured bacterium
Lineage: Bacteria
Description: partial 16S ribosomal RNA
Rfam family: Bacterial small subunit ribosomal RNA
Source: RNAcentral
GACGAACGCUGGCGGCGUGCUUAACACAUGCAAGUCGAACGGUGAAGCGCCUUCCUUUUUGGUGGGUGUGGAUGAGUGGCGAACGGGUGAGUAACACGUGAGUAACCUGCCCCCUUCUUCUGGAUAACCGCAUGAAAGUGUAGCUAAUACGGGAUAUUCUGGGUCUGUCGCAUGAUGGGUCUGGGAAAGAUAUUGUUUCGGUGGGGGAUGGGCUCGCGGCCUAUCAGCUUGUUGGUGGGGUGAUGGCCUACCAAGGCGGUGACGGGUAGCCGGCCUGAGAGGGUGGACGGUCACACUGGGACUGAGACACGGCCCAGACUCCUACGGGAGGCAGCAGUGGGGAAUAUUGCACAAUGGGCGCAAGCCUGAUGCAGCGACGCCGCGUGAGGGAUGGAGGCCUUCGGGUUGUGAACCUCUUUCGCCAGUGAAGCAGGCCUGCCUCGUUUGUGGGUGGGUUGACGGUAGCUGGAGAAGAAGCGCCGGCUAACUACGUG